Molecule: small RNA, 222 nt
Filed under: Vigna angularis var. angularis
Lineage: Eukaryota; Viridiplantae; Streptophyta; Magnoliopsida; Fabales; Fabaceae
Description: Non-protein coding transcript
Source: RNAcentral
CUUUACAACAUUCAUUCCUCUAUGUCGUUAUCUUCAUAGGACGAGGCAACUUUCAACAGUAGGUAAUCUUUUUUCCACCUUGUGUUUAAAGCUUGAAGCAAAAGGGUGAACAUAGCACAAGGUUAUUGGUCUUCACACAAGAACGAGCUACUAAUCUCAAGAUUGGAAAACUGCUUUUGGUUGUCUUCAUAUUGAAAGUAAGAGAUACUGAGUAGAUUGUGG